Molecule: non-coding RNA, 25 nt
Filed under: Rattus norvegicus (Norway rat)
Lineage: Eukaryota; Metazoa; Chordata; Mammalia; Rodentia; Muridae
Source: RNAcentral
AGGUUGAGAACCGUUGUCCUAGAUC